GGAACCACAGCUGUAUUACUGCCUAAUCGGGCUGCUUUUAAAUCUAAAUUGUAUUUACUUGAGUCCUUCCCCAGCCACUGAUUCCUCUGAGUACCAAAUCAAAAGAGGACAAGAAGAGAAAAGCAUAAUUUAUUCAAAAUCUUUUUAUCCAGCAAGCCUGGCUUCAUUUGGGGUAUUAGGUAUCGUUACAAAGCCAGAGAGGAUUUAACAGGACUUUGAAUAAGGAGGAGAAACUAAGAGGAAAACACAUCAGGUGGUUUUACAACAUCUCCAGUAGGAAAAUAAAAGACCCAAAACUGCAGAGACACUUGCUUCGCCCUGGAAGGACAGGCGUAAUUUGCAGAGGAAGUGGUGGUGUUUAAUUUCAAUCAAAACAAGUCUGUUCUGCUCAUUUCUUUGGCCCAGGACCCUGAGCUGGAGAAGUCCAAACAUGUGAUCUGGGAACAAGUGUUUUGUUUUUUGCUUCCCCCCCCUCAAAGUAACAGAAAUAGAAUUAUCAUUCAUUCUGGAGACGCUGAGGGUGAUGGAUUGAAGGACGUGGGAUCCCUGCCCGGGCAGAGACAGCGGACCGUCUCGGCAGUGGCCAGUGUGAAGAGAAUCUUAGGGGAGCAAGAGUGUGGAGCAUGCGGAACAGUCCAGAACCAGAAGCAGAGCUGCAGCCUUGUCUCCCAGAUAGACGCGGACCCUGCACCUCUCACGGAAUUUUCCUGACCUCGUCCAGCACCCAGACACUUCACAGCAGGCCUGCCGUUUAGUCCUGGGUCUGAGUCUGUGCCUGGAGUCAGGAACCGGAUCUGAUACAGAAUCCGGCGUUGUCUCUAUCCGCGGGAUUCUGCCUCAGGUACCACCGUUUAUGUCAUUUCUGGAAUUUUAGCCAAAACAAUGAAAACUCCCAGCUGUAAGGAAAUGUUAAAAUGAUUAUGCAUAAUUGAAGGCACGGCAUUUUCUAAGUGAAGCUAAAUCAUUUCUAUUAAAAAUGCCACUCGGAAACAUGUCCCCUCAUGGUUAAAAUGCUGCUCACGCCCGAUGGUGCUCCAAUUCGGGGCACUCUUGUAUUUUUGAAAGGGCCAGACUGGGAACGUUUCUGACCCCAGGACAGCAGCUACGCUCCUUUCAUCGGACAGUGAGGGGACUUGGCUCAUGCCAACGGUUAAUUUGGGGAGAGGGUGGGGGUAAGGAACACCCCACAAAUUGGUUCCCCCCUCACCUCCUCUGUCACUAUGCCAUUGCUACUCUCUCUGGGGACCUCGGUCCUUAAGCUUCUUCGCUACUUUUAUAAUUUGUUAAGUGGUGUCAGGUACACAUGGUUCUAGGGAAACCUUUUCGUACCCAAACCCUGUGAGCCUGC
Molecule: long non-coding RNA, 1348 nt
Filed under: Sus scrofa (pig)
Lineage: Eukaryota; Metazoa; Chordata; Mammalia; Artiodactyla; Suidae
Description: lncRNA (ENSSSCG00070010362.1)
Source: RNAcentral